AUUGAACGCUGGCGGCAGGCCUAACACAUGCAAGUCGAGCGGAGAGGCGGACGGGUGAGUAAUGCCUAGGAAUCUGCCUGGUAGUGGGGGAUAAGGUCAGGAAACGGGCGCUAAUACAGCAUACUAUCAGAUGAGCCGAGGUAGGAUUAGCUAGUUGGGGGGGUAAAGGCGUACCAAGGCGACGGUCCGUAACGUGUCUGAGAGGAUGAUCAGUCACACUGGAACUGAGACACGGUCCAGACUCCUACGGGAGGCAGCAGUGGGGAAUAUUGGACAAUGGUCGAAAGCCUGAUCCAGCCAUGCCGCGUGUGUGAAGAAGGUCUUCGGAUUGUAAAGCACUUUAAGUUGGGAGGCGUUACCAACAGAAUAAGCCCCGGCUAACUUCGUGCCAGCAGCCGCGGUAAUUC
This 407-nucleotide ribosomal RNA is filed under the name uncultured bacterium. RNAcentral's name for it is "partial 16S ribosomal RNA". It matches the Rfam family "Bacterial small subunit ribosomal RNA", at positions 30 to 526 of the family's 1533-position model. The record is from RNAcentral.